This is a long non-coding RNA of Acipenser ruthenus (sterlet), 2359 nucleotides long. RefSeq lists it as uncharacterized. The transcript is spliced from 4 exons. NCBI's taxonomy places the organism in Eukaryota, Metazoa, Chordata, Actinopteri, Acipenseriformes, Acipenseridae. The record is from RefSeq and is a predicted model, not a curated record.
GAGCUCCGAUUGGCUGGCUGGGUGCAGCGGGAAGAAGAGAACUUGCUGGGAGGACAUUUUGAAGAGGAGAGCGAGAAUCAUAUCUGAUAAAUAUUCUUUACACUGAGUUAUACUCUCAGACGAAGGGCUUGUGCAAAUGAAGACAGACUGCUCAGAAGAGUGACUGAAGAAAAUGAAAUGCAAAUGAUUACCUGAAGGCAAGACAGAAGUUAAGACUCCUUAACUUGCUCAACAUCAGAUUUGGAGUCAGAAAAGGAAGACGAUGUGACAAAGCCAAAGAGACAAAGGACAGCCAGAAUUCGGUUUGGCGACAGCGAUGAUAGUGCGUCAAAAAAGGGUUCAAGAAAGACAAUAAAAAGCUCCCUGCCAGCUGCACCAGCAGUACCUCGCCCACCUUCAACUUCACCUGCUACACAAAGACCUCAAGUAAGUGCAUCACCUAGCCAGCCUCCAGAUGAGUGUGUUGAAGACUUCAUUCAUUCGCCUUCAAUGAUGGCACAAACACCAAGGAGAGUCACUGCUGUACCCACUAGACUGGAUUUCACUCGACCAUCAAGAAGUGAAAUGCUCACUUUCACUCCCACUGGUAGAGUUGGGAGGACUGGAACUGCAUCUAUUCCCUGCACUGGUAAUCUCCUCAUCAUGAUGUUAUUUUAGACCUAGAAAUGCUUAUUUGUACCAGUGUUAUUUGAACUCUCUGGAUGCUACAGUAAGAUGACAGCCCGAGCAAUCUGUCAAAACAACAUCCCUUUUGCAUGAUUUGAGUUUGAGUUAUUUCAAAAUAUUGGUGCACCUCCUUUUCACAGUAAAGUAGAAGUAAGCUUGAUGAAAGUGAACACUAGAACCACCCAAGUAUAGGCACACCUAGAAGCACCACGAGCAAUCCAUUUUUAACAGUCGUAUUAAAAACAACAUCAAUAUAUAAUGAAGGAUCAAGCGAUUGGGUUUAAGUUGUAGUUUUAUCCAUCCACGUCACAUAAGCAAACUGAAAUAAAACAAAAACAGGCAUUUGCACAGAAUUUAGUUAAUGUACAGACAUAUUAUCUGAAACACAACUGCAAAAAAUCUAUAAAUGUAAUAAACGUUUGAACAUAAAUGAGUGUGGUAUAUGCAUAUGCGAUAAUCUACAACCUGGACUGUAUAAAGACAGCAUUGAAAAUGAAUGGGUUUAUAUACCUAUGCAGACCUAAAAAGCUGUAUAGACUGCAUACAGCUGCCAGUUUAACAGAAAUGUGUCUGUGUGCAGGUAUAUAAUAAUCAAAAUAACAAUGAAUGAGUUCUUGUUUUCUUUGAUCUGUCCCAAUGCUGCCAUGCUUUCCUGGCCAGAGAAUUUUAAAACAGUCCAUGACCAUGUGAUAUCUCAUCAUGACAGCUCUGUAUGCUUUUGUGAUUAAUAAUGUCCUAUUAAAAAUAUUUAUUCCAUAAUUAGUGUACUAAACGAGGAUGCUAAAUGCUAUGCAUUGUUGUUGUCACUCUCGUAAUUUGCGAAUGUUUUUUGAAAGUGACGACAAAAAAAAGUGGAAUCGUCACUAGGACGAUCGUUUCUGUUUGUAGUAUAAAAUAAAUCCCUUUUGUUCUUCACACACAACGUCUGUUUUUUCAAAAGAAGGGAUUGCUGAACCAUAGAGUCACUGCUGUUGAUUAGAUCAGCGUCUCAGCCUCUCAAUUCAUUGACUCUGCAACAUUCUCGUGGUAGCGACGUAAAUGCAGUCAGCCAAUCAGCGCAUCAGUUUCAUGUCUCGUGUCAGUUACCAUGGUAACUGAAAAAAUAGGAGCACGCUAAAAGAGCAAUGUUCUUGUAUUGACGGUGUGCUAUAGACUCAAGUAAACAUACAGAAAAAUCGUAAAAUGUCAAGCACUCACCAAGCAUCUGCUGUUAAGCUUAUAUAUUUAUUAUUCUAACAUCAUAAUCAUAUAAAACAAUGAAGCGAAUUCAUGCAGACGCGAGUAGUAACAGUUAAUUAGGAUCUCCACCUCGACGUGGGGUAUGAACCACUUCAAUCCUCAUAAAUCUCAAAGUACAAACGCUAUGUUGUUGUUCAUUAAAAUGUCUCUCUACAGCUGAUCGGAUCUCAUUAUUCCUAAUAGCGCUUUUAUGUUCACUUCUACGCGUUUUCAGUUCCCUAAUGGUCUUACCCACAUAGCACAGACCACAAAGGCAUUUCAACAAAUAGACUACAAACUUGGUAACACAAGUAAUCCUACCUCUUACUUUAAACUGCUUAUUAGUUUUAGGAUGGGUAAUUGGAUCGCUUUUUAUCAUUGCAUUGCAACAAGCGCAAUUGUGACAAUUAAAGUUACCUUGCGGUAUCUGUGUUAAAACGUGAGACGAUGGAAUAAAAGAGUCUGCUUUAACAAA